GCAAGACCCUGUCUGUACAAAGAAUAAAAGAUAAAUUAGUCAGGCGCUGUGAUGUGUGCCUAUAGUCCCAGCUACUUGGGAGGCUGAGGCAGGAGGAUCACUUUAGCCCAGGAGUUUGGAGGCUGCAGUGAACUAUAACUGUGCCACUGCAUUCCAGCCAGGUCAACAGAGUGAAACCUUGCCUCUUAAAAAAAAAAACCCAAAACCUUCAUUUGCCUUCUCCUUCAUCAUCUCAGCCAAGACCCAGGCCUAGCACACACCCAACUUCCAAAUCUCUUUCCUUGUAAAAGGCACCCUUUUUAAUACUUGUCUCCAGUCUCUUAGUGUCACACUCUUGAGCAUCUGAUGGAAGCCACGGGCCUCUCCCCCAGAAAGAAGGCACAGAUGCACUUACACAUCCUAGUGGACAGUUCCCUGGGGAGCCCAGUCCCCCUGAAGCCGGCCUACCCAUGGUGCCCAAGCUAAGGGCUCUUGCUCUGUAGGAUUAGGGG
This 491-nucleotide long non-coding RNA is filed under the name Homo sapiens (human). RNAcentral's name for it is "HSALNT0195103". Lineage: Eukaryota; Metazoa; Chordata; Mammalia; Primates; Hominidae. The record is from RNAcentral.